Molecule: long non-coding RNA, 456 nt
Filed under: Homo sapiens (human)
Lineage: Eukaryota; Metazoa; Chordata; Mammalia; Primates; Hominidae
Description: non-protein coding lnc-LSMEM1-2:6
Source: RNAcentral
GGAGUUGGCUGCCCAGAAAUCUGAGAGAAAAUAAGACAUGUAAAGUCCUGCUCACCCAUGAAAGUUUCUAAAUACAGGAGCUCUGAUUCUAAAAUCAUCUCCAUUUAUAUUGGUUUAUCUUUUUAAGACACUUUGUUGUUUCAGAGCUACCUUGCCAUGAAGAUUCAUUACCUUUUCUUUGCUCUUUUCUUCCUUGGCCAGCUGUCUACCUCAGGAACUGAAGAUGCUUAUGAAGUCAUUAGUAUCAUGGACUGUAAAAAUCAAACACUGUGUAAUUCUCAGAAUACAACUAGACACUGCUCUCAUGGGAAGGAGAUUGAACUAUGUGUCUUGCGUCUUGGAAAAAAUGCAAAGCGACUCACUAACCAUGAAGAAACAGCAAAUUAGGAAGACAGGAUGAUCAAUUUCCUUGUCUUAUUAAAAAAUAAAGUCUGCUUUCUUUUCUCUCUCCUUUUA